Molecule: unclassified non-coding RNA, 378 nt
Filed under: uncultured Simkaniaceae bacterium
Lineage: Bacteria; Pseudomonadati; Chlamydiota; Chlamydiia; Parachlamydiales; Simkaniaceae
Description: contains 16S-23S intergenic spacer region
Source: RNAcentral
UCCUAGUUAACCUAGGCAGUCUCAUUAGAGUUCCCACCUUAAAUGUUGGCAACUAAUGAUAAGGGUUGCGCUCGUUGCGGGACUUAACCCAACACCUCACGGCACGAGCUGACGACAGCCAUGCAGCACCUAUAUAGAAGUCCUUUCGGAAAAUACCAUUUCUGGUAUCGCCCUCUACAUUUCGAGCCUGGGUAAGGUUCUUCGCGUAGCAUCGAAUUAAACCACAUGCUCCACUGCUUGUGCGGGCCCCCGUCAAUUCUUUUGAGUUUCACCCUUGCGAGCGUACUCCUCAGGCGGUAUACUUAUCGCGUUAGCUUCGACACAGCCAGGGUUGAGCCCCAGCUCCAUCAAGUAUACAUCGUUUACGGCAAGGACUAC